This 2550-nucleotide ribosomal RNA is filed under the name Triticum aestivum (bread wheat). RNAcentral describes it as "partial small subunit ribosomal RNA". Lineage: Eukaryota; Viridiplantae; Streptophyta; Magnoliopsida; Poales; Poaceae. The record is from RNAcentral.
AUGAGUCCGCCCGGCCAGACAGCGGCGGAAUCUGGGAAGCCGGCAAAGCCCCUCGUGCAGCCAUGGGAGUACAGCCUGCGGAAGUACCUCCUGCUGCUGGCCACCCUGGUGGUCACCGUCACGUACUCGGCCGGCUUCAACGCCCCGGGAGGCGUCUGGCAGGCGGCCCACGACGGCCAGCCCGCCGGCGACCCCAUCAUCCGUUACACCCACUACCACCGCUACCUCGCCUUCUUCUACUGCAACGCCACCGCCUUCACCGCAUCGCUCGUGGUCAUCGUCCUCAUCCUCAUCCUCGCCAUCCGGCACGACAAGGACGAGAAGGAUACCCUCUGGGUCGUCGUGCCCCUGCGGGUCUUCAUGAUGCUGGACCUCCUCAGCCUCGUGGGCGCGUACGGCGCCGGCACUUGCCAGGACAAGAUUUCCACCGUCUACUCUGUGGCGCUGGUGGCCAUAGUCUUCCUCUACGUCGCCAUUCUCAAGUUGCUGGAUCUGAACUGGUGGUGUGCGGUCAACCAACCCCCCUUGGGCUCCAGCGCUGUGAAGGAGCCGAAACUCGAAGAACGGCUCCGCAAGGUCCUGAUGCUCCUCGCGACCUUCGCGGUGAGCAUCACGUACGUCGCCGGGCUGAACACGCCGGGUGGCUUCUGGGACAGCACCGGGGACGGCCACCACCUGGGCGACGCGAUCCUCAAGGACCACCACAAAAUGCGCCUGACGGUGUUCUUACUCUGCAACACCACGGCGUUCGUGGCGUCCCUCCUCAUCACCAUGCUGCUCAUCAUUGACAGCAAGAAGCUCCGUGCUUGGUCUAUCGUCCUCUACGCGUGCAUCAUCGUCGCGCUUCUCGGCCUCGUAGGCACAUACGCCGCUGGCAGCUGCAGGAAAGCUGGCACCACCGCCAAAGUGGUCAGCCUGGCCGGCGCCGCUCUGGCAUUGGCAUACUUGCUACUUUACACUUUGCCGUUUAAAUGCUCGUCUUUUUGUUCCAGUACGGCAAAAUCAACUGAUGCAACUCAGCACAGUGCUGGGGAGGCUCUGGACAAGGCUCGCUCUCUUGUUCUACUCCUCGCCACUCUUGCGGCCACCAUCACCUACACAGCAGGGUUGGACCCGCCGGGUGGCGUUUGGCAAGAGAACGGCAACGGGCACAUGGCCAGCGACCCGAUUCUCCUCACGACAAACGCUAGGAGGUACAAGGCCUUCUUCUACUGCAACUCAGUUGCGUUCGUGGUCUCCUUGGUGGCCAUCGUACUGGUCCAGACAGAGAAGCUGGUUGAGCACCACGUGCUGGAGGCAGCCAUGAUACUCGACCUGUUUGGCCUCAUUGGCGCUUAUGCUGCCGGGAGCUGCCGGGACGUGAGCACCUCCAUUUAUGCCAUGGCCUUGGCAGGUGCUGUCCUGGUCUAUGUGGUGAUCCAUGUCGUUUUCUUCACACUGGACCACAAGGACAAGGGAAACAACGACCAAGAAGAUCGGUCGCUGGAGAAGAGGCGCAAACGGUUGCUCCUCUUCGCAAUCUUGGCCGCGACCAUCACCUAUCAAGCCGGCCUCACCCCUCCUGGCGGCUUCUUGCUCCAGGACGACGAGCUCGGGCACCACGCUGGCGACCCGGUCCUCUUGUACAACUACCCAGCCCGCUACAACGCCUUCUUCUACUGCAAUUCGGUGAGCUUCAUGCUGUCCAUCGCCCUCAUCAUCCUCCUGGUGAACCCCAAUCUGUACAGGCCAGCCAUACGAAGCAAUGCGCUAUCUGUUUGUACGGCGGUGGGUUUGUUUUGUUUGAUGGGAGCCUACGCCGCCGGAAGCACGCAACACCUCAAGACAUCCAUCUACAUCUUCGUGUUGGUGGCUGUGGUUCUCGUCGUUGCAGUCGUACUGCUGCUAGUAUUUUUGCUGCUGAAUAGAAAUGACAGUGAUUCAGAAAAAGGGCAACUCACCGAUCAGAACAAAGAAGAAAGGAAGCAUGUAGAAGAAAAUAAUGGAGAUAAAGAAGAAAGGAAGGGGGAGAUAGAAGAAAAUAAUGAGGAUAAAGAAGAAAGGAAGAAGGAGGUAGAAGAAAAGAAGAAGGAAAGGAAGAAGCACGCGAGGCGCAAAUACCUGAUGCUACUAGGCAUCCUGGUGGCGAGUGUAGCCUACCAGGCUGGUCUGAAACCGCCGGGCGGAGCGUGGCAAAGCAACAAUGACGGGUACGAGGCGGGCAACCCGGUGAUGCAUGACAACAGGAGGCCCCGGUACCUUGCCUUCUUCUAUAGCAACUCCAUUUCCUUUAUGUCUUCUAUCGUUGUCAUCAUCAUGUUGCUACCGCAAUGGCUGCCAAAGGAGAAAGGAGAAUGGGAGAAAUGGUCGCUGAGGGUGAUGAACUGGACGAUCCGGCUUGAUUUGUUUGCUCUCCUAGUGGCCUAUGCAGCUGGCUCAAGCAGGGGGUGGAAAACGUCUGUUUAUGUCGGCACGCUCAUCAUUGCUGUGCUGGGCUACUUUGCAAUCCAUAUGAUGCUGUCAUAUAUUGUUCGCGGCCGUGAGAAGACCCCAGGCACGUCUGCAGCGUAG